GACGAACGCUGGCGGCGUGCCUAAUACAUGCAAGUCGAACGAAACUUUCUUACACCGAAUGCUUGCAUUCACCGUAAGAAGUUGAGUGGCGGACGGGUGAGUAACACGUGGGUAACCUGCCUAAAAGAAGGGGAUAACACUUGGAAACAGGUGCUAAUACCGUAUAUCUCUAAGGAUCGCAUGAUCCUUAGAUGAAAGAUGGUUCUGCUAUCGCUUUUAGAUGGACCCGCGGCGUAUUAACUAGUUGGUGGGGUAACGGCCUACCAAGGUGAUGAUACGUAGCCGAACUGAGAGGUUGAUCGGCCACAUUGGGACUGAGACACGGCCCAAACUCCUACGGGAGGCAGCAGUAGGGAAUCUUCCACAAUGGACGCAAGUCUGAUGGAGCAACGCCGCGUGAGUGAAGAAGGUCUUCGGAUCGUAAAACUCUGUUGUUAGAGAAGAACACGAGUGAGAGUAACUGUUCAUUCGAUGACGGUAUCUAACCAGCAAGUCACGGCUAACUACGUGCCAGCAGCCGCGGUAAUACGUAGGUGGCAAGCGUUGUCCGGAUUUAUUGGGCGUAAAGGGAACGCAGGCGGUCUUUUAAGUCUGAUGUGAAAGCCUUCGGCUUAACCGGAGUAGUGCAUUGGAAACUGGAAGACUUGAGUGCAGAAGAGGAGAGUGGAACUCCAUGUGUAGCGGUGAAAUGCGUAGAUAUAUGGAAGAACACCAGUGGCGAAAGCGGCUCUCUGGUCUGUAACUGACGCUGAGGUUCGAAAGCGUGGGUAGCAAACAGGAU
RNAcentral lists this ribosomal RNA (781 nucleotides) under Lactobacillus sp. BS-22. Its description in RNAcentral is "bacterial SSU rRNA". It matches the Rfam family "Bacterial small subunit ribosomal RNA", at positions 28 to 778 of the family's 1533-position model. The record is from RNAcentral. Lineage: Bacteria; Bacillati; Bacillota; Bacilli; Lactobacillales; Lactobacillaceae.